UACGUAGGGUGCGAGCGUUGUCCGGAAUUACUGGGCGUAAAGAGCUCGUAGGUGGUUUGUCGCGUUGUUCGUGAAAUCUCACGGCUUAACUGUGAGCGUGCGGGCGAUACGGGCAGACUGGAGUACUGCAGGGGAGACUGGAAUUCCUGGUGUAGCGGUGAAAUGCGCAGAUAUCAGGAGGAACACCGAUGGCGAAGGCAGGUCUCUGGGCCACUACUGACGCUGAGAAGCGAAAGCAUGGGGAGCGAACAGG
Molecule: ribosomal RNA, 253 nt
Filed under: uncultured bacterium
Lineage: Bacteria
Description: partial 16S ribosomal RNA
Rfam family: Bacterial small subunit ribosomal RNA
Source: RNAcentral